CGAUAGGGGAAUCCCAAGUGCGAGGGCAUAUUAGCCCUCGCUUUUCUCGACUGCAAGGUGGUCGACGAACAAGAGCUGGGCAAGACCGGUGCCAGCCGCCGCGGUAAUACCGGCAGCUCAAGUGAUGUCCCAUAUUAUUGGGCCUAAAGCGUCCGUAGCUGGCCAGACAAGUCCGUUGGGAAAUCCACGCGCUCAACGCGUGGGCGUCCAGCGGAAACUGCCUGGCUUGGGGCCGGAGGACUCGAGGGGUACGUCCGGGGUAGGAGUGAAAUCCCGUAAUCCUGGACGGACCACCGGUGGCGAAAGCGCCUCGAGAGGACGGACCCGACAGUUGAGGGACGAAAGCCAGGGUCUCGAACCGGAUUAGAUACCCGGGUAGUCCUGGCCGUAAGCGAUGUCUGCUAGGUGUGGCGC
RNAcentral lists this ribosomal RNA (414 nucleotides) under uncultured haloarchaeon. Its description in RNAcentral is "bacterial SSU rRNA". It matches the Rfam family "Archaeal small subunit ribosomal RNA", at positions 368 to 779 of the family's 1478-position model. Lineage: Archaea; Methanobacteriati; Methanobacteriota; Halobacteria; Halobacteriales; Halobacteriaceae. The record is from RNAcentral.